This 650-nucleotide ribosomal RNA is filed under the name Macrobrachium jaroense. RNAcentral describes it as "eukaryotic LSU rRNA". It matches the Rfam family "Eukaryotic large subunit ribosomal RNA", at positions 87 to 605 of the family's 3401-position model. Lineage: Eukaryota; Metazoa; Arthropoda; Malacostraca; Decapoda; Palaemonidae. The record is from RNAcentral.
GGGCGACUGAAAGGGGAUGAUCCCAGCGCAUAACCUUCCGGUGAGUGCUUUGCCGUGGAGGGGUGUUGCGUUUCGGUGGAUCCGUACCGCUCGACUUGCUGACCGCCUAAGUCAUUGCUUGAAUGCAGCCCCGAGGAGGGUGGUAGGCCCGUGUGGCGGCGCCUGUAAAAAGGUUGGAGGCAAGUUGGGCGGAGGGGUCUUUACCGUAGAGUCGGGUUGCUUAGUACUGCAGCCCUAAGUAGGUGGUAAACUCCAUCUAAGGCUAAAUACGAGCACGAGUCCGAUAUUUGACAAGUACCGUGAGGGAAAGCUGAAAAGGACUCUGAAGAGAGAGUUCAAGAGGACGUGAAACCAUUAGAAGCUGAAACGGGUGGAACCGUGAAGGAUGAAAGAGGGGAUUCAGACUGUGGGUGCGCCUAGCCCUGGCGGUUUUUGUGUCGCGAGAGGACCGUUGAUUGUGUGAGGAGAGGUGGCGACUGUCGGGGCUGUGGCGUGCCGGCGGUCUUAGUUGUACCUCGAGUAAGAGUGGUGGCGACCCGCUGGCCGGACCCCCGUGACCCUUGCGGACUGGUAGCCCGUACCUCGUGUGCGGGUGAUGACCGCCGAGGGACGCUUUGCGGGUUUGGCCGGCGGUGACUGCAAGGAGGCAG